RNAcentral lists this ribosomal RNA (550 nucleotides) under Morinda citrifolia (Indian mulberry). RNAcentral's name for it is "eukaryotic LSU rRNA". The stretch from base 146 to 301 matches the Rfam family "5.8S ribosomal RNA". The record is from RNAcentral. Lineage: Eukaryota; Viridiplantae; Streptophyta; Magnoliopsida; Gentianales; Rubiaceae.
UGGCGGGCGAGGGAAACCCCGCCCGUCCGCGCACCAUCCCAACUAAACUCUCGGCGCGGGACGCGCCAAGGACUACUCAAACGGAUCGCCGGCCUCCCCGCGGCUUCCGCGGGGCGAGCUGCGCGUCUGGUCGUUUAACUAAAACGACUCUCGGCAACGGAUAUCUAGGCUCUCGCAUCGAUGAAGAACGUAGCGAAAUGCGAUACUUGGUGUGAAUUGCAGAAUCCCGUGAACCAUCGAGUUUUUGAACGCAAGUUGCGCCCGAAGCCAUUAGGCUGAGGGCACGUCUGCCUGGGCGUCACGCAUCGCGUCGCCACCCCCCUCCUCGCCCCGCGCGGGAACGACGUGGGUGGCGGAUGUUGGCCGCCCGUGCCCUCCGCGGCGCGGCUGGCCUAAAUGCGAGUCCUCGGCCCGGGACGUCACGGCGAGUGGUGGUUGAACUCAUCAACUCGAGAGCCGUCGCGACGACGCCCGACGGGGAACUCUCCGACCUUGGAGCCCUUCGCGAGCCCUCGACCGCGACCCCAGGUCAGGCGGGAUUACCCGCUGA